GCAUUUAAUCUAAGAAAAGACUCCUGAUUUCGACUCAGGGAAUAUUGAUUAACCUCAAUAAUACC
RNAcentral lists this transfer RNA (65 nucleotides) under Salamandrina terdigitata (spectacled salamander). Its description in RNAcentral is "tRNA-Arg". Lineage: Eukaryota; Metazoa; Chordata; Amphibia; Caudata; Salamandridae. The record is from RNAcentral.